RNAcentral lists this long non-coding RNA (275 nucleotides) under Physcomitrium patens. RNAcentral describes it as "long non-coding RNA (PPAT_LNC006440)". Lineage: Eukaryota; Viridiplantae; Streptophyta; Bryopsida; Funariales; Funariaceae. The record is from RNAcentral.
CAAGUUUUUGUGCCCAACAAGUUUUUGUGCCCAACAACACAUGUUUCUGCUAGUAUAAACUUAAUCUCCUAAUAUUUUAUAUAAAAUUCUUUAAAACUUAAAAUAUUAUUUUUUCAAUUAACUUUUUAUAACUUUCAUAUACCUAAAGAAGAAUAUCAUAAGUAGCUUAAAAAUCUAUUGAUUUUUUUUUAAUACAUAUUGUUAUAUAUUAGAAUAAUAACAUUAUCAACUAAAAGUAAUAAAAAUAGAAAUAAAACAAAAGAUUUAAACAUCAA